GCUCUAUUCCAGAAGCAGUCUGGAGCACAAAGAAUCCCUAAUCACUGACAUUAAGAAAGAAGAAAAAUAUUCCUAGGACGAUCCUGGAGAGCAAAGGUCAUCAGCAGUCACUUGACUUUCCUUGGAUUUCUCAACUGCAGUAGUCACAUGGUCUGCUGAAAAUGAAUUCUCUUUAUUUUCAUCUGAUUUCAAGGAAUUAUGGUUUUCAGUGAUUUCUUCAUUUGGAUCUAUUUUGAGACAGAGUAAUAGCAUUAAAACCCCCUUCUGAAUUAAUAAGGCAUUUGUUGCUGAAACGCAAAGUGUGACAAGCCAAUGGAGAAGAGACACAGACAUGCAGAGAAAACACAGGGAAGAAGGCCACAUGGGAUGAAGGCAGAGAAGGGAAUGAUGCAGCUACAAGCCAGCUACAAGCCAAGGAAUGCCAUGGACUGCUGGCAACCACUAGAAAGAAGCUGGAAGAGGCAAGGAAGGAUUCUUCCGUGAUGCCUUCAGAG
This 494-nucleotide long non-coding RNA is filed under the name Homo sapiens (human). Its description in RNAcentral is "MAP9 antisense RNA 1". Lineage: Eukaryota; Metazoa; Chordata; Mammalia; Primates; Hominidae. The record is from RNAcentral.